AUUUGUGUUCUUUUCUCUUUUGCCUUCGACGGUGACGCCUGAGAUUCUUCACGGCUUAAACGGAUUGCGUUAUGGUUUUUAUUGUGUUUAAUCCCAUUAAUUCAUAAGCCCACCACGACGGAUCUUCAAUGCUUGGUUUGCAUCGGCAAGGCGGUGUACUUUCAGUCCUAUCUCUGCAACCUUUUUAUGCUUCUUGGAUUGGAACCAUGCCGUAGUUGUGGCUCCUUAGAAGUUCCUUGCAAAAGAACUCUCCAGUUGGCAAAUGGGUUGAGUGCAUCAUCACGCCGUGAGCUGAAUACACUAAGCAAUGCACAGAAGAUGAGCCACCAUCCGGUACAAUGAUAGGUGAAUCUGACAAUUGGUGACGUAAAGGAGUCAUGUAUGCUCUCAGUUUGGUAAAAAACCCUCACUUUAAUUUUUUUUUCCAGGACUCAUGCUCUCCAGCUAACUCAAAUCACCAUGUAGCAAACAAUCGUUUAGUUAGCUACUGCUGCGAAGAUCUGAGAUAAACAAAUUAAACAUUUAUGCGAGGGUUAAUCCUCUGUAAUGAGAUCUUCUAACAAAUCUAGGUACUUAAUUAGGUUUCUUCGUACAGACAAAUGGAAACUACACAAGAGUACUUCGAUUCAGAGUUAACAUCUAUGCAUAACUAAAUACAGGUGGGAGUUAGGGAGAGUUUGGCAGAUUCAAUUUUUUUGAAGGUGUUAUUAUUUUUUUUAAGAAUAUGUGUUAUUGUUUAUUUGAAUAUAUUUGAGUGUGUCAGUUUUUAAUUAUGGAAUAUUAUGUGGCAGCGAUGUCAAAAACAACUUUCUGAGAACAAAGGAAGCACGGCAAAUGCAUAAUCAAGUUUAGUGCUUGCCUUUUUGAAUGUCAUUGAUUGUCAUGAUCAAGAGACAAUUUCUCAGUGGUAUAUCUCUGUUCCAUAGAAAUUUAUUUACUUUUUAAUUCUAGACAGAAUAAGCAUACGAGCUUUUUUUUUCAGCCUACAGGCUGUUUUAUUUUUUCAGCCUACGGGCUGUUUGUUUUGUUUUUAAUUUUUG
Brassica napus (rape) is the source of this 1040-nucleotide long non-coding RNA. RefSeq lists it as uncharacterized. Lineage: Eukaryota; Viridiplantae; Streptophyta; Magnoliopsida; Brassicales; Brassicaceae. The transcript is spliced from 3 exons. The record is from RefSeq and is a predicted model, not a curated record.